GCCCUUGUAGCUUAACUUUAAAGCAUUGGUCUUGUAAACCAAAGAAUGUAACCUAAUAAUUACCCAGGGCU
RNAcentral lists this transfer RNA (71 nucleotides) under Kalophrynus palmatissimus. RNAcentral's name for it is "tRNA-Thr". It matches the Rfam family "tRNA". Rfam says of the family: Transfer RNA (tRNA) molecules are approximately 80 nucleotides in length. Their secondary structure includes four short double-helical elements and three loops (D, anti-codon, and T loops). Further hydrogen bonds mediate the characteristic L-shaped molecular structure. tRNAs have two regions of fundamental functional importance: the anti-codon, which is responsible for specific mRNA codon recognition, and the 3' end, to which the tRNAs corresponding amino acid is attached (by aminoacyl-tRNA synthetases). tRNAs cope with the degeneracy of the genetic code in two manners: having more than one tRNA (with a specific anti-codon) for a particular amino acid; and 'wobble' base-pairing, i.e. permitting non-standard base-pairing at the 3rd anti-codon position. Lineage: Eukaryota; Metazoa; Chordata; Amphibia; Anura; Microhylidae. The record is from RNAcentral.